GCCAGGCCAAGCAGGAGAUGAUGGAAUACCGACACCAGAUCCAGUCCUACACCUGCGAGAUUGACGCCCUGAAGGGCACUAACGAUUCCCUGAUGAGGCAGAUGCGGGAAUUGGAGGACCGAUUUGCCAGUGAGGCCAGUGGCUACCAGGACAACAUUGCGCGCCUGGAGGAGGAAAUCCGGCACCUCAAGGAUGAGAUGGCCCGCCAUCUGCGCGAGUACCAGGACCUGCUCAACGUGAAGAUGGCCCUGGAUGUGGAGAUUGCCACCUACCGGAAGCUGCUGGAGGGAGAGGAGAGCCGGUGAGGGGCCAGGCAGGAGCCCGAGUGGGAGGUGCGGGGUGCUGGGUGGUCCAUUUCUGUCCCCAGGAGGCUCGAGAUUACUGAUUACCUCAACAAGACCUGGAAACAAUUUUUUUUUUUUUUGAGAUGGAGUUUCGCUCUUGUCGCCCAGUCUGGAGUGCAAUGGCACCAUCUUGGCUCACUGCAACCUCCGCCUCCUGGGUUCAAGCAAUUCUCCUGCCUCAGCUUCCCGAGCAGCUGGGAUUACAGGCGCCUACCACCACGCCUGGCUAAUUUUUGUAUUUUUAGUAGAGACGGGGUUUCACUAUGUUGGGCAGCUGGUCUCGAACUCCUGACCUCAGGUGAUCUGCCUACCUCAGCCUCCCAAAGUACUGGGAUUACAGGCGUGAGCCACCGCACCCGGCGUGGAAACAAUUUUAUACAAGAGGCCACUGCUCUAUUAAUUGCAGAGAAUUAACCAAGGCCACCUGGGUAAAAAGCAAUUUAAUUAACAGC
RNAcentral lists this long non-coding RNA (796 nucleotides) under Homo sapiens (human). Its description in RNAcentral is "long non-coding RNA NONHSAT183596.1". Lineage: Eukaryota; Metazoa; Chordata; Mammalia; Primates; Hominidae. The record is from RNAcentral.